CCUACGGGAGGCUGCAGUAGGGAAUCUUCCACAAUGGGCGAAAGCCUGAUGGAGCAACGCCGCGUGGGUGAAGAAGGUCUUCGGAUCGUAAAACCCUGUUGUUAGAGAAGAAAGUGCGUGAGAGUAACUGUUCACGUUUCGACGGUAUCUAACCAGAAAGCCACGGCUAACUACGUGCCAGCAGCCGCGGUAAUACGUAGGUGGCAAGCGUUAUCCGGAUUUAUUGGGCGUAAAGGGAACGCAGGCGGUCUUUUAAGUCUGAUGUGAAAGCCUUCGGCUUAACCGGAGUAGUGCAUUGGAAACUGGGAGACGUGAGUGCAGAAGAGGGGAGUGGAACUCCAUGUGUAGCGGUGAAAUGCGUAGAGAUAUGGAAGAACACCAGUGGCGAAAGCGGCUCUCUGGUCUGUAACUGACGCUGAGGCACGAAAGCGUGGGGAUCGAACAGGAUUAGAUACCCGGGUAGUC
RNAcentral lists this ribosomal RNA (465 nucleotides) under uncultured bacterium. Its description in RNAcentral is "partial 16S ribosomal RNA". It matches the Rfam family "Bacterial small subunit ribosomal RNA", at positions 338 to 795 of the family's 1533-position model. The record is from RNAcentral.